RNAcentral lists this ribosomal RNA (276 nucleotides) under uncultured bacterium. Its description in RNAcentral is "partial 16S ribosomal RNA". It matches the Rfam family "Bacterial small subunit ribosomal RNA", at positions 32 to 318 of the family's 1533-position model. The record is from RNAcentral.
AAUCAACGCUGGCGGCGUGCCUAACACAUGCAAGUCGCACGAGAAAGGGGAGCAAUCCCCGAGUAAAGUGGCGCACGGGUGAGUAACACGUGAUUAUCUACCUCCGAGUGGGGAAUAACUGAGAGAAAUACUUAGCUAAUACCGCAUAACACUUACGAGUCAAAGCAGCAAUGCGCUUGGAGAGGAGUUCGCGGCCGAUUAGUUAGUUGGCGGGGUAAUGGCCCACCAAGACGAUGAUCGGUAUCCGGCCUGAGAGGGCGCACGGACACACUGGAA